Molecule: ribosomal RNA, 253 nt
Filed under: uncultured bacterium
Lineage: Bacteria
Description: partial 16S ribosomal RNA
Rfam family: Bacterial small subunit ribosomal RNA
Source: RNAcentral
UACGAAGGGGGCUAGCGUUGCUCGGAAUCACUGGGCGUAAAGGGUGCGUAGGCGGGUCUUUAAGUCGGGGGUGAAAUCCUGGAGCUCAACUCCAGAACUGCCUUCGAUACUGGCGAUCUUGAGUCCGGAAGAGGUGAGUGGAACUCCUAGUGUAGAGGUGGAAUUCGUAGAUAUUAGGAAGAACACCAGUGGCGAAGGCGGCUCACUGGUCCGGUACUGACGCUGAGGUGCGAAAGCGUGGGGAGCAAACAGG